GCUCAGGUGGUGCAACUGGUAGCACAUCAGGUACAUAACGGCAGGCAGCCUUAGGGUGUUGCAGGUCCUUGCGACCACUGCCCCCCGGGUCGUUGGGGGCCUGGGAAGUGUCCUGAUGAUCAAGGUUCAAGUCCUUGUCUGAGCA
Molecule: non-coding RNA, 145 nt
Organism: Bacidia gigantensis
Lineage: Eukaryota; Fungi; Ascomycota; Lecanoromycetes; Lecanorales; Ramalinaceae
Source: the annotation of a RefSeq genome assembly